CACUUAGAAGGUUUGAAACCUCUAAUUGGUGAUACACUCCUUGUUGCAGGGACACUUUUCUUUGCCAUGAGCAAUGUUGGUGAGAAGGACAAUGAUUCCUGAUCUAUCUGAAUGAGGUUUAACACCAAGAACCAGAUUAGGCCUUGGACAACUCAGAUGGAAAUUAAAUCUUGUCUGCAUCACUGCUCCAUCUCCAAAUUGACUUGAGCUUUUCUUAUUUACUGACAUUCUAUUUUUGUACAGAUUUAUAUACACUGGAUCUGUAGAAAUUAUAUUGGAUAUUGCACAAGAUCUCCUCAUAGCUACUGAUCAGUAUCUCUUGCAGGGAUAAAGCAUCCCUGUGAGUGUACCAUUGCCCAUGAUAUAUCACUAGAAAAUGUUUCAAGAAUGCAUGAGCUUUCAGAAGCCUUCCAUGCUAUUUCCUUAAGACACACAUGCCUCAUGUCUAUCUUGGAGCAGUUUAGUAAACUGAGUUCUAGGGCCGAUUGAAAGGCACGAUGAG
Molecule: long non-coding RNA, 502 nt
Organism: Vitis riparia (riverbank grape)
Lineage: Eukaryota; Viridiplantae; Streptophyta; Magnoliopsida; Vitales; Vitaceae
Exons: 4
Source: RefSeq, a predicted model, not a curated record